Oncorhynchus gorbuscha (pink salmon) is the source of this 2471-nucleotide long non-coding RNA. RefSeq lists it as uncharacterized. The record is from RefSeq and is a predicted model, not a curated record. Lineage: Eukaryota; Metazoa; Chordata; Actinopteri; Salmoniformes; Salmonidae. The transcript has 4 exons.
CAUAUGGCGCCUCAUAUGUAAUUUGGCGAGGCGGAUUCCCAGCUACUGUAUUCAAAUUAGAUGCCCUAUAUUAAUUUAUUACACCGACCUGAAGGGGAGUGUUCUGUACACAGAUACACUGUAGUGAUGGAGUCCCACAAUUUGUCCUGCAUCAUUUGUUUGGAUCCCUUCACCGUCCCAGUCACCGUCCCAGUCACCGUCCCAUGCGGUCACACCUUCUGUCGAGACUGCAUCACGGCUCACUGGGACACAAAGUCCAUGUCCGAUAUGCCCUGUCUGCAAUGAGAAAUUCACCACCAGGCUUGUCCUGAAUCGCAACGUGUCCCUGUCCUCUCUGGCUGAGGCCUCAGCGAACAGUGCCGGUGCAUCCGGUAGAGACACUGUACCAGUUAUGAGGGGCGACAUGGCCAGAGCCAUGACCCUGAUUCUGUGUGACCGACACAAGAAGCCCCUGGUGUACUAUUGCCGGACAGACAACGUGUGUGCUGUGAGUGUGCCAUCUCUGAGUGUAAGAACCACGAGGAGGUGCUGGUGGAGUGUGAGAGGGAGAACUGAGAGUCACUACUGUGGAGGAAGAGUGUGGAGGUGGGAAUAUGUAUAGAGGAGACUGAAAGGAGCUGGGCUGACAGAAUAUCGCCAAAGCCAAGCUCCCUCCACAGACCGCUGCACUCUGACCCUCGUACAGCCAACAGUCACCUGCUACUCUCCCAGGAGCGCUGCGCCGUGUCCCCGCCCACGAGACUCACCCAGACCACACCUGGCAGGUGCUCUGCUUCCAGGGCUUCAAACACAGAAAGCAGUACUGGGAGCUGGAGGUGUCCAAGCCAUGGGCCUGCCUGGGGGUCAAAGUGUGAUGGCCAUGGUAGCCCAGAGCAGGGGGUCAGAGUGUGAAGGCCAUGGUAGCCCAGAGCAGGGGGUCAGAGUGUGAAGGCCAUGGUAGCCCAGAGCAGGGGGUCAGAGUGUGAAGGCCAUGGUAGCCCAGAGCAGGGGGUCAGAGUGUGAAGGACAUGGUAGCCCAGAGCAGGGGGUCAGAGUGUGAAGGCCAUGGUAGCCCAGAGCAGGGGGUCAGAGUGUGAAGGACAUGGUAGCCCAGAGCAGGGGGUCAGAGUGUGAAGGCCAUGGUAGCCCAGAGCAGGGCUAUUCAACUGACAACAGGGGGGGGAGCAGUGUAACUGGCUUCCAGGUCUAGAGUUGAGUUUGGGGACUAUAGAAUUGCACCUGUGUCUUUUGAGACUUCCCAACAUAACCUUUGACCCCUGCAUAUCUCCCCUAGUUCACCUAUGAGGGCAUCCCCAGGAAGGAAAAGGGAAAGAGUAGCAUGGUGGUAAUGAACGAUCUGUCCCGGAGCCUCCAGCUAGAUGAGGAUCAUAACCUUUGACCCCUGCGUCUCUCCUCCAGUUCACUUAUGAGGGCAUCCCCAGGAAGGAAAAGGGAAAGAGUAGCAUGGUGGUAAUGAACGAUCUGUCCUGGAGCCUCCAGCUAGACGAGGAUCAGCUGAACGCCUGGCGCAGCGGGCACCGGGAGACGGUGGCUGGUCAUUACAACCACAUUGUAAUGCUGCUGGAUUACGAGGCCGGAACGCUGACGUACUACGAAGACAGGCAGAUGAGGCUGCAUUCCUUCUACUGUGCCUUCACUCAGGAGCUGUUCCCCCGCCUGUCUGAUAGGGGAGGGCGUCAGCGUCACCCUCUGCUCGCUGUGACGACAACACGCAAGGGAACAACUGAGCUGACACUGUCAUAAGGGACUAGUCUUGCAAAGCUGAUGAGUGUUGUGAUCUCGCCUUACUGUACAGAUGUUUUUACAGUCCUGUUGUGGGACUUGGACUUGAACGGGAGCGACUAGUAUUUGAUUUGAUUUAGUAAGUACUUAUGUGACACGGGACUCUUCUGCACUGUUAAUGUUCUGAAAUAUGGGAUCACUCAGGACAGUGGACUAGUCUUCGGGAUACUGUUGUGGACUUGCAGGUUCUCAGAACCGUGAGCACAGUUAGGAACUGGAAAUGACUACUGUGCGGGAAACUGGUUUUCCUUAAGAGAAGGGAAAAGCACAUGUCUAGGGUCCCUAAAGGCCGAAGAAAUUUCACAGAAGUUCCUGUUGGAUUUCUAAUGGAGCUGAUGUUAAAUGUUUUUCACUACUUUGUGUUGGAAGUUGGAACUGGACAAAUAUGGUAUUUAAAAUGUGGUCUUCCGAAUUAGACAGCUUGUUGUUUUGUUAAACAAGACAAUGACGUAGCGUAUAAAAAAAGAAAUACAGAAAGUCAGGUACCCAGGCUUGCAUCACAAUGUGUACAGAAAAAUGCACUACUGUCAAAUGAAUAAAAUGGACACACUUCACAUCACAAGAUCAGUUUAAUAAAAAUUCAAUCCAUAUUAGUUACAAUUGAGCCCAUGCUUUGGUCUUUUUAAUAAUAUAUUUGACCAUUUCAAAUGAAUUAAUCAAUAAAUUAGUGGGAACUUGAAAUAAAUAUA